Molecule: ribosomal RNA, 872 nt
Filed under: Bacillus sp. SO6.1
Lineage: Bacteria; Bacillati; Bacillota; Bacilli; Caryophanales; Bacillaceae
Description: bacterial SSU rRNA
Rfam family: Bacterial small subunit ribosomal RNA
Source: RNAcentral
GGGUAACCUGCCUGUAAGACUGGGAUAACUCCGGGAAACCGGGGCUAAUACCGGAUGGUUGUUUGAACCGCAUGGUUCAGACAUAAAAGGUGGCUUCGGCUACCACUUACAGAUGGACCCGCGGCGCAUUAGCUAGUUGGUGAGGUAACGGCUCACCAAGGCGACGAUGCGUAGCCGACCUGAGAGGGUGAUCGGCCACACUGGGACUGAGACACUGCCCAGACUCCUACGGGAGGCAGCACUACGGAAUCUUCCGCAAUGGACGAAAGUCUGACGGAGCAACCGCCGCGUGAGUGAUGAAGGUCUCCGGAUCGUAAAGCUCUGUUGUUAGGGAAGAACAAGUGCCGUUCAAAUAGGGCGGCACCUUGACGGUACCUAACCAGAAAGCCACGGCUAACUACGUGCCAGCAGCCCGCGGUAAUACGUAGGUGGCAAGCGUUGUCCGGAAUUAUUGGGCGUAAAGGGCUCGCAGGCGGUUUCUUAAGUCUGAUGUGAAAGCCCCCGGCUCAACCGGGGAGGGUCAUUGGAAACUGGGGAACUUGAGUGCAGAAGAGGAGAGUGGAAUUCCACGUGUAGCGGUGAAAUGCGUAGAGAUGUGGAGGAACACCAGUGGCGAAGGCGACUCUCUGGUCUGUAACUGACGCUGAGGAGCGAAAGCGUGGGGAGCGAACAGGAAUAGAUACCCUGGUAGUCCACGCCGUAAACGAUGAGUGCUAAGUGUUAGGGGGUUUCCGCCCCUUAGUGCUGCAGCUAACGCAUUAAGCACUCCGCCUGGGGAGUACGGUCGCAAGACUGAAACUCAAAGGAAUUGACGGGGGCCCGCACAAGCGGUGGAGCAUGUGUCUAAUUCGAAGCAACGCGAAGAACCUUAC